UUACUUUGUCUAAGUUGUGAGAUAUUAACUAUAUAUUUGUUCAUUAACACACUAGGCAAGUGACCUCCAUUGCACAUUGGAGGGGCGCUAACAUAAGGUCUAUCCAAGUGGUGGAUCCUACAUCAUAAUUUGUUGUUGUGAGGGUAUGCGUUCGCACGACCCUUA
This is a small nuclear RNA of Trifolium pratense (red clover), 165 nucleotides long. RefSeq annotates it as U1 spliceosomal RNA. The transcript has a single exon. NCBI's taxonomy places the organism in Eukaryota, Viridiplantae, Streptophyta, Magnoliopsida, Fabales, Fabaceae. The record is from RefSeq and is a predicted model, not a curated record.